CUAUGCGCCUUGCCAGCCCGCUCAGGUGUGCCAGCAGCCGCGGUAAUACGUAGGGAGCAAGCGUUGUCCGGAAUUACUGGGCGUAAAGGGCGCGUAGGUGGGCGCUUAAGUCAGGUGUGAAAACUCCGGGCUCAACCUGGAGACUGCACUUGAAACUGGGUGUCUUGAGGGCAGGAGAGGAAAGUGGAAUUCCUAGUGUAGCGGUGAAAUGCGUAGAUAUUAGGAGGAACACCAGUGGCGAAGGCGACUUUCUGGACUGUACCUGACGCUGAGCGCGAAAGCGUGGUAGCGAGCGGG
Molecule: ribosomal RNA, 297 nt
Filed under: uncultured bacterium
Lineage: Bacteria
Description: partial 16S ribosomal RNA
Rfam family: Bacterial small subunit ribosomal RNA
Source: RNAcentral